UGGGAAAACCCACAAAGGCCUAACCGAGC
This 29-nucleotide non-coding RNA is filed under the name Rattus norvegicus (Norway rat). Lineage: Eukaryota; Metazoa; Chordata; Mammalia; Rodentia; Muridae. The record is from RNAcentral.